Amphimedon queenslandica is the source of this 977-nucleotide long non-coding RNA. RefSeq lists it as uncharacterized. Lineage: Eukaryota; Metazoa; Porifera; Demospongiae; Haplosclerida; Niphatidae. The transcript has 3 exons. The record is from RefSeq and is a predicted model, not a curated record.
UUGGAUUUCUUAGGCUAGAAAGACAAAUUUCACUACCCGCCAUAAGGUACCUUUUGUCAAUUAUGGUCACAUAUUAUACUGCUAAAAUAUAUCUUAAUUAUAAAAGAGAGGAAAGCUAUAAUUCUCAUUAUUGAUUAAAUUAGACUAGAUCUAGCAAUGUCAUGCAUCAAGAAUCAAUACUGAUAUUAUGGUGCUAACUAAAAACUAGUAAAAAUUAAUUUUCAGUCAUUUAAAUAAUUUUAAUGAUGAAAGAUACUACUACACUUAUACACUAAUAGACUAGGCAUGCUGCUGUAUUUGCCUGUGCUAAGUUUUCAGGUACUCUAGUCAUGUAGGUCAUGGUUGAUUACGUGAUAAUGAAUCCAAUGCAUUGAAUUGAAUUGCAGCUACAAAGACAAAAAGUAACUCCAGACCCACUCCAGACUGCAUCCAAAUUUCAUGAUGAUUGAAAUAUCAAUAUGACAUAAGACAAGGAGAAGUAGACUGUAACAAAAGAACACAUCAAGUUGCAAACGAAAAUGAAAAUAAUUGGACUUAUUAAUGAGACCAUCUCUACACACCCAAGAGUUACCAUGCAUGAUCCGUGAAUGAUGGGUAUCAGGCCUGGACCAGGUUUGAUUCUAUAACGGUCCAGCAUCGACGGCCAUCACUGCUGAAUCGAGCCUGUUGCUCUGGCCUGGACCAGUAUCUAUUUCAGUUCCGAUGUAGUCAUAGCUGAUACAGUAAUGUCUGUUCAUCAGCACUGGUCCAGGCUGUAUAUCAGUACUGGAUCAGAUCGAUGCUUUUCAAGAUGGCAGCCCCGCGUGGACUAUCUGACAUGUUUUGUUAAAGAAAAUCAUCUUAAUCUGACUCUUUAAGAGAAAUCUCGUUGGCUGUAUACACUAGGGCUAAAUCACUGGAUGUUAUGCUAUUUUGAACCAUUUAUUACUUAAACAUGAGUAGGAUACACGAUAUUUUGAGUAAAAAAUACAUGACUG